This 364-nucleotide ribosomal RNA is filed under the name Dendrobaena byblica olympiaca. RNAcentral's name for it is "partial 12S ribosomal RNA". It matches the Rfam family "Bacterial small subunit ribosomal RNA", at positions 875 to 1415 of the family's 1533-position model. Lineage: Eukaryota; Metazoa; Annelida; Clitellata; Crassiclitellata; Lumbricidae. The record is from RNAcentral.
AAGUCGAAAAUUACGAACCAUGGUUUAAAACUCAAAGAAUUUGGCGGUGUCUUAUCAAACCAGGGGAAUCUGUCUCAUAACUCGAUAAUCCACGACCCCCUUACCCUCCCUAGAAACUCAGCCUGUGUACUGCCGUCGCCAGCACACCUCUAAAAGAGAAAAGUGUGCAAUAAUGAAUUCUCAAUUACGUCAGGUCAAAGUGCAGCUAAUGAGAUGGUGAUGAUGGAUUACAACCUAAACAAAGACACAAAUUACAAUACUAAAUGUUGUAUGAAGGUGGACUUGAGCGUAAUAAAGAUUAAAUACCAAAAUGAAAAUGAAUUUAAGACAUGCACACAUCGCCCGUCACUCUAGCCUAAAGGUU